Molecule: long non-coding RNA, 271 nt
Filed under: Naja naja (Indian cobra)
Lineage: Eukaryota; Metazoa; Chordata; Lepidosauria; Squamata; Elapidae
Description: lncRNA (ENSNNAG00000001065.1)
Source: RNAcentral
GUCAGAAGAAACCAAGUAUUCAUGCUGUAGCUCUGUCAUCUCCACCAAUGGUUAUAAUGUAAAGGUUUUAGGACAACAUACAGAAAUUAACGGGACAAAAAAUGCAGAGAACUAUAAACAAGAGAGGCAUAUGCCAGCUUCACAGAACAGAUCAGAGCAAAGAAUGGAGAUGAAAAAGAAAGGAUUCUUGGAAUACUUGAAAGGUGGUCUCUUUUCACUGUUCCUUCAACAAAAUUGAAGGCAAUGAUCAAGCCUCUUGAGUUCCUUUUAU